GCAGUGGUAGUUCAGUGGUAGAAUUCUUGCCUUCCCUAUGGGAGACCCAGGUUUGACUCCUGGCCAAUGCA
RNAcentral lists this transfer RNA (71 nucleotides) under Loxodonta africana (African savanna elephant). It matches the Rfam family "tRNA". Rfam says of the family: Transfer RNA (tRNA) molecules are approximately 80 nucleotides in length. The record is from Rfam by way of RNAcentral. Lineage: Eukaryota; Metazoa; Chordata; Mammalia; Proboscidea; Elephantidae.